CACCCGCUGAGUUUAAGCAUAUCACUAAG
RNAcentral lists this ribosomal RNA (29 nucleotides) under Cheilolejeunea clausa. RNAcentral's name for it is "partial 26S ribosomal RNA". Lineage: Eukaryota; Viridiplantae; Streptophyta; Jungermanniopsida; Porellales; Lejeuneaceae. The record is from RNAcentral. RNAcentral also lists the same sequence under 6 other names.